GUUCUCAGAAGCUCCACGCAGCAGCGUUUUCACAUUCUAGGGCCUGGAAUGGAGCCGGGGCGGCGGGGGAGGCGGUCAGAGCACCCCCAGUCCUCGCCUGGUUCCAUCCUGGGGUGGGAGAGGUCCGGGUGAGCGGGAACUGGCCGCGUUGCCCUUGUCAGCAAGAGAAACAAGUAGGGACACUGGGAAUCUGCAGCUGGACAACUGUGCCCGAGAGAAGAGGGGAGGCCCGAGGAACGGAAAGUAUGUCCUUGCCCACAGGUUAUACUCCACGAGCAGGCCCGUUGCAAUCACACCCUGCAAGUCGCAGCCAGGAAGUCCUCCUGCAGAAAUGCUCGCAGGCGUGCUGAUGAUGGACUGCAAGGUUGUUCGUUGCGAGCGUUGCUGGAAACGGCAGAAGUCUGGAAACAAUCUAAACGCUAUCAAUAAAGGCCUGAUUAAAUAAUUUAUGGUCUGUGCAUCCGAUGGCACACUCUGAAGAAAGCUUCUCGUACACUGGUCGCAUUUCUGUGGUUUGACUGGUAGUGGCUGGGGAGGCUUCACAUGGCAAUGCACGAAACCCCAGAAGAAAGAGAGCAACCCAUUGCAAACACUUUCCAGCCUUUACUUGCGUGAUGUUUGCUGAAGUCCCUUUGGCCAAAGCACCUCACACAACCAAGCCCAAAUUCAAGGGGGAGAAACAAACUCCAUGUCUUCAAGUACAGUGGACAUCAGUUUUAAUCUACCACAUGGUGGAGCAGAGCCACCCUGGAGGUGGGCACGGUUAGGCCCUGGAAGUAGCCUUCUUGAGGUUGCUGAUACCAGAGGGUCAGCUGCAGAGUGGGGCCGCAGGCAGCUCCGAGCAGGGAUGCUGGACCUGGAGGAAUUGCUGGAGAGCCGGGAAGAAAGGACACCUAAGGAGCUGCCUCCACAGCGUGGGUGCGACUAGCAGGCGAAAAACCCGAGGACGGUGUGGUAUUGGUGGUGACAGGGGAGGUGCAAAACACUUGACGGUUUCAAACACACACGCAGAGAUUGUGAGGGUGGGGAAUAAGAAGGAUGCCUUUCCAAAGAUUCCAGACAAAAGUUCUGGCGCUUAUGGGCACGUCUGAAGGAAAAGAACUCAGUGAGAAAGAGUUUCUCGCCUCUUCUUUAUUACUCGAGAUGGCCACAUGUGUACCCAGGCCUUGUGCCAGGGUGCACCUCGAGCCACCCACCUGGCCUGUGCCUGGCUCUGAGUGGGGGGGGGGGUCCCAUCUCAGAGUAGCUCUGAGAGUGCUAAGCACUCUGGGUGAGCCCUUCUGUGGGCAAACAGGGAAAAUCCUUCAUCAUCUCUACCCUGUCAUUUGGGGUCCCUAGCUAACCCUGAGAACUUUCUCCUCUGUUCCAAGCGUCUACUGAGAGCUUUGCCAGAGGCUGUGUUCCCUGAGGCCUUGCUCACUCCCUUCAUACACAUGCCUGGGAAUGCAUAUGUGUGCAUGUAUGGACAUUCAUGUAGCCGCUACAAGGCAAGGAACUGAGAGAAGUGACCGUAGCACUUUCUAGGCAUCCAACUUUGUCCCCUGCUCCCACUCCAGGCCAAGUUAGGUGACCCUCCCUCUCAUCAUGCCCUCUGCCUAUUUUAUUGCUGAAUUUCCAUACUGUUUCAAAUUGUUCAGGGGUGCCUGGGUGGCUUAGUUGGUUAAGUGUCCGACUUCAGCUCAGGUCAUGAUCUCACAGAUUGUGAGUUCGAGCCCCACGUCGGGCUCUGUGCUAACAGCUCAGAGCCUGGAGCCUGCUUUGGACUCUGUGUCUCCCUCUCUCUCUCUCUGCUCUUCCCCCACUCGUUCUCUAUCUCUCUCUCCUUCAAAAUUAAAUAAACAUUAAAAAACUUAAAAAAAAUAAAAUACGAUUGUUCAGCACUGGUUAAAGACUAGUACUAAAGAAUUACUGUCACAUUUUUAGGAGUGGUAGUAGUAUUGUGGUUAUGUUUUGUUUUAUCUUUUUUCUUUAAUAAGUUUUUUUUAUGUUUAUUUAUUUCUGAGACAGA
This is a long non-coding RNA of Neofelis nebulosa (Clouded leopard), 2008 nucleotides long. RefSeq lists it as uncharacterized. The record is from RefSeq and is a predicted model, not a curated record. NCBI's taxonomy places the organism in Eukaryota, Metazoa, Chordata, Mammalia, Carnivora, Felidae. The transcript is spliced from 3 exons.